CCUACGGGUGGCUGCAGUAGGGAAUAUUGCUCAAUGGCGGGAACCCUGAAGCAGCAAAGCCGCGUGGGGGAUGACGGUUCUACGGGUGGAAACUCCUUUUUUUAGGGAAGAUAAUGACGGUAUCUAACGAAUAAGCACCGGCUCACUCCGUGCCAGCACCCGGGGGAAUACGGCGGGAGCAAGCGUUAAUCGGAAUUAAUGGGCGUAAAGAGCGCGUAGGCGGGAUAGCAAGUCAGCUGUGAAAUCCUAUGGCUUAACCAUAGAACUGCAUUUGAAACUGUUAUUCUAGAGUAUGGGAGAGGUAGGGGGAAUGCUUGGUGUAGGGGUAAAAUCCGUAGAGAUCAAGCGGAAUACUGAUCGCGAAGGCGACCUGCUAGAACAUAACUGACGCUGAUGCGCGAAAGCGUGGGGAGCAAACAGGAUUAGAUACCCCUGUAGUC
Molecule: ribosomal RNA, 440 nt
Filed under: uncultured bacterium
Lineage: Bacteria
Description: partial 16S ribosomal RNA
Rfam family: Bacterial small subunit ribosomal RNA
Source: RNAcentral